UUUUUUUUNUUUUUGGUCAUGCCCAUGGCAUGCAGAAGGUUCUGGGCCAGGUAUUGCAUGUAUCUUUUUGAAUUAUAGUUUGUCUGGAUAUAUACCCAAGAGUGGAAUUGCUGGAUCUAAUGGUAACUCUACUCUUAUUUUCUGAGAAACCUCCAUACUGUUUUCCAGAGUGGUCGUACUAACUUAAAUUCCUACCAACAGUGUAAGAGGGUUCUCUUUUUCCACAUCCUCUCUAGCAUUUGUUAUUUGUAGUUUUUUUGUUUUUUUUUUUAAUAGCCAUACCCACAACAUGUAGAAGUUCCCAGGCCAGGGAUCGAAUCCGAGCCUAUGCUGCAACCUACACCACAGCUGCAGCAACACUGGAUCCUUAACUCACUGUGCCACAGUGGGAACUCCUAUAGACUUUUUAGUGAUGGUCAUUUUGACCUGUGUGAGGUGGACCUCAACGUAGUUCUGAUUUGCAUUUCUCUAAUAACUAGUGAUGCUGAACAUUUUUUAAUGUGCUAAUGUGGCUGGACUUCUCUUCUGAACAGCAAACUCUUCUGUAUAAAAACUUACUCAACAUCUCUCCCUGGAUGUCUGAGAACACCUUAAACUCUGCAUGUUCAGAUCAGAUCACUCGAGUUCUUGUACCCAUCCCUUAAAAAUGCUUUUUCCUCAGUCUUUCCAAUUUGCUAUGGACUACAUGUUUGUGGCCACCCAAAAUUCAUAUGUUGAAGCCCUGGUUCCCAACAUGAUGGUAUUUGUUUUUGUUUUUUGUUUUGUUAUUGGCCACACCCAUACCAUAGCAGCAACCCAGGCCACUAGGUCUCACCAGAAACUGAAUUGGCCAGUGCCUUGAUCUUAGGCUUUCCAGCCUGCAGAACUGGGAGAAUAAAUUUCUGUCGUUCAGAGCGCCUAGUCUAUGGUAUUUUGCCAUGGCAGCCUGAGCUAAAUCACCAUCUCAGAAAAUGGUAACUAUCUGAAUCUAAACCAAAGUGCUCUAACAUCUGGUUCAGGGUAAGUUUUGAAAGACAACCAUCAGUGUUCUUGCCCAAGGAAAUCAGGUGUUUCCAUCAUGCCCCGCCUCCCAGGAGGAAGGGAGGGCAGGCCCCUCAGACAUCUGUCAGUUUCUCUCUAGCCCCUUUCUUUCUCCUCUGGAGUUACUUAGUCUUUCUCAAGGGUCUGGGGCAGAUAAGACAGGGCUUGUAAGAGAAAAUCUGUGAUUAAAAUACAGCAGCCAGGAUGAAGGGCAGGGCAGGCUGGAGAGCCCUGUGGGGUAAUAAAGGGGUGAAUUUCGAGAGGCUGAGCCCUGAGGAGGCUCCUUUACUUCCCAGAGGGGUGGAGCUGAGGAAGGCAGAGAGGGACAGACCUCACCAUGGAAACGGAGGAGGCAGAGAGACUGAACCCAAGUCUCCCCUUGCUAGUCCUUUCUGUGGGUGUUUCCAAGGAAAUGUGGCUUAGAGAAUUACAGCCCACUGUCCUAGACAUGCAGUGAAGCGUGGUGGUUAAUACGCAGCCUCUAGAGCCAGAUAGCCUGGGUUGGAAGGCCAGCUCUGCAGCUCAGCAUCUGGGGCCAGCUAUACCCCGCUUCCUCAUCUGGAAAAUGGGGAUAACAGCACCCACCUCACAGCACUGCUAGGGAAAUUAAAGGAUGAUGCUGCGUAAAGAACUUAGGGCAGUGCCUGACCAGAGUUAGCUCUUACCGCCCCUUCUCUCUGGAAGGCAAAAUCUGCUGUCAGCAAGCUGGACGCAGACCUAUGGAACCCAGGGCUGCCAGGCAUUCAGCCAACAGUUCCCCUCCCUGGCCCUUCCCCAGCCCAAGGCCCAAGGUCCUUUGGGCAAGUGUUAGCCCCUCCCUGGGAGUCUCGGCCCUGGAUGAUGGAGAGAGCAGGGCUCACUUAGCUUGUGUCCCUAUCUGAGGGGCCUGAAGUGCUUACAGGAGGUAGCUGGGAUUUCAAAAUUGUUAAUUCUGAGAAGCCCAGGCAUGAGGAGGACUUGCUUUUACAGGCAGUUGAAAAAAAAAGUGCACGUUAGCUUUCUCGUCUGGAAGGCUCUUUGGGUGCGCCCUGCUGCUUAGGGCCUGAUGCUGAGCCCCGUCGAGUCUUCCCAUUACUGCGGGAUUUCUGAGAGGCCCUGCUCUGACUCCUGGUUAUUCUUACCAUGCAGUGGGGGUAGGGAGAUAGAAGGUGGGGUAGGGGUGGAGGGAGGAAGGGUGGCAGGCAUCUCGUCUACUGAGUGUUAUCAGAAAGGGAUUAACAUUCUGCAGAAAACUGGCAGAACACACAUGCAUACUGCUUUUACCCUUCCAAAGAGCUUUCAUGUGCAUUCUGUCUCUUGAAGCACCUGGGGCCUGGGACAGCAUCUCAAAUAAUCUUGGACCCCACGAGACAGCAAGGAAGGCCAGGAAGGUUUUAUUAGCUCACAUUGUGCAUGAGCAAGUCAAGAAGGUAGAAAGGGGAGCCUGUGACGUGGGGGGCACGUGGCGCAGCACAGAGAAAGCAAGAGAAGGUCGGGAGAGAGGGCUUCUGGUAAAGGCUCCAUCCCUACCUGCCCAAAUGGCCUUGGGCAAGAUCCUGAACUUCACUUGGCUUCAGCUUUCUCAUCUGCAUAUCAGGAUCGUGGUACCAACUGCACCAACCCCACAGGACCAUUAAUUAUGAGACAAGGACGAGGAACACAAAACACAUAACAGGCUCUCUAAACAUGAGAGAUGACUUCCGGGGGCGGGAGGGCACCUCUCCCACAGCUCCAAGUGUCCAGAACACGGAGGAACAUCGGAAAGAGAAGGAGGAGCAUCUGCCAUGGGGCACACUCUGCACUCCAACUGGCUCCAAGAUCUCAAAGCAGAUGUUCUCAUCUGCUUCCAAGUGAGGCUAAGAGGAUGAGAAACGAGCGAAGCUACUUGGAUACAGAACUGGAAUUCGAACUCACAACUGUCUUUGUAGACCUUGAAGCUCACGCUCUGACUCCCCUAUGCUGCUUUCCUGACCCCACCUCUGAAAACCACACACCCAGGCAUCUCAUGUAUGUCACAGAGCUCGUGGGUGAAACCUGAGGCACUUGACUGACUUCCUCACUUUGAGCCCGGUUACUCUCGGUUUAGACAUAAUUCUGACCUACCUGGUUAUCAGCUUUCCCAUCUUGCUGCAUAUUGGAAGGGACAUGAGGGGACCAAUCAACAUUGACAGGAGCAAGAAGUAACAGAUGACAGGAGGAAAAUACAUUUUAAGAGUAAUUUUAGCAGUGUUGGAUGGUUUUGUGUAGAAACAAAUAACCCUACAAAUGUCUUUGAUCCCUGCAGCUAUCACUUGUCAGCGAU
RNAcentral lists this long non-coding RNA (3301 nucleotides) under Sus scrofa (pig). RNAcentral describes it as "lncRNA (ENSSSCG00060006127.1)". The record is from RNAcentral. Lineage: Eukaryota; Metazoa; Chordata; Mammalia; Artiodactyla; Suidae.